AACGUAGGAACCGAGCGUUAUCCGAAUUUACUGGGCGUAAAGCGCGUGCAGGCGGAUUGGUAAGUUGGAUGUGAAAGCUCCUGGCUCAACUAGGAGAGGACGUACAAUACUGCUAAUCUAGAGGGUGUCAGAGGAAGGUGGAAUUCCCGGUGUAGUGGUGAAAUGCGUAGAUAUCGGGAGGAACACCAGUGGCGAAGGCGGCCUUCUGGGGCACACCUGACGCUAAGACGCGAAAGCUAGGGGAGCGAACGGG
RNAcentral lists this unclassified non-coding RNA (253 nucleotides) under uncultured Anaerolineales bacterium. Its description in RNAcentral is "contains 16S-23S intergenic spacer region". It matches the Rfam family "Bacterial small subunit ribosomal RNA", at positions 524 to 776 of the family's 1533-position model. The record is from RNAcentral. Lineage: Bacteria; Bacillati; Chloroflexota; Anaerolineae; Anaerolineales.